RNAcentral lists this ribosomal RNA (458 nucleotides) under uncultured bacterium. RNAcentral describes it as "partial 16S ribosomal RNA". It matches the Rfam family "Bacterial small subunit ribosomal RNA", at positions 338 to 795 of the family's 1533-position model. The record is from RNAcentral.
CCUACGGGAGGCUGCAGUGAGGAAUAUUGGUCAAUGGGCGAGAGCCUGAACCAGCCACGUCGCGUGAGGGAGUACUGCCCUAUGGGUUGUAAACCUCUUUUGUCGGGGAGCACAAGCCGGACGUGUCCGGCUGUGAGAGUACCCGAAGAAAAAGCAUCGGCUAACACGGUGCCAGCAGCCGCGGUAAUACGGAGGAUGCGCGCGUUAUCCGGAUUUAUUGGGGUAAAGGGGUGCGCAGGCGGAUUUUAACGUCAGCGGUAAACUCGUGGGGCUCAACCCCAUCCAGCCGUUGAAACUGGGGAUCUAGAGUGUGCGAGAGGUAUGCGGAAUGCGUGGUGUAGCGGUGAAAUGCAUAGAUAUCACGCAGAACCCCGAUGGCGAAGGCAGCAUACCGGUGCACAACUGACGCUCAGGCACGAAAGCGUGGGUAUCGAACAGGAUUAGAUACCCUGGUAGUC